CAGUAGCCGCGGGAACACAGAGGGUGCAAGCGUUAAUCGGAAUUACUGGGCGUAAAGCGCGCGUAGGUGGUUCGCCAAGUUGGAUGUGAAAUCCCCGGGCUCAACCUGGGAACUGCAUCCAAAACUGGCGAGCUAGAGUAUGGUAGAGGGUGGUGGAAUUUCCUGUGUAGCGGUGAAAUGCGUAGAUAUAGGAAGGAACAUCAGUGGCGAAGGCGACCACCUGGACUGAUACUGACACUGAGGUGCGAAAGCGUGGGGAGCAAACAGGAUUAGAUACCCCAGUAGUCCCUGUCUCUUAUAC
RNAcentral lists this ribosomal RNA (301 nucleotides) under uncultured bacterium. RNAcentral's name for it is "partial 16S ribosomal RNA". It matches the Rfam family "Bacterial small subunit ribosomal RNA", at positions 509 to 807 of the family's 1533-position model. The record is from RNAcentral.